This 72-nucleotide transfer RNA is filed under the name Camelus bactrianus (Bactrian camel). It matches the Rfam family "tRNA". Rfam says of the family: Transfer RNA (tRNA) molecules are approximately 80 nucleotides in length. Their secondary structure includes four short double-helical elements and three loops (D, anti-codon, and T loops). Lineage: Eukaryota; Metazoa; Chordata; Mammalia; Artiodactyla; Camelidae. RNAcentral also lists the same sequence under 2 other names. The record is from Rfam by way of RNAcentral.
GAGGGUAUAGCUCAGUGGCAGAGUGCAUGCUUAGCACGCAUGAGGUCCUGGGUUCAAUCCCCAGUGCCUCCA